UCAAAACGAAGGAGUGAAUAGCGAAUUAACUUCUCAUAAAGAAAGAAGGAGCAAAGUGUGAGAGUACACGAGCGGCGGACGGCUGAGUAACGCGUAGGAACGUCCCCAAAGUGAGGGAUAAGCACCAGAAAUGGUGUCUAAUACCGCAUGUGGUCUUCGGAUUAAAGCUUCGGCGCUUUGGGAGCGGCCUGCGUAUGAUUAGUUUGUUGGUGAGGUAAUGGCUCACCAAGGCUUCGAUCAUCAGCUGGUCUGAGAGGAUGAUCAGCCAGACUGGGACUGAGAACGGCCCAGACUCCUACGGGAGGCAGCAGUAGGGAAUUUUCCACAAUGGGCGAAAGCCUGAUGGAGCAACGCCGCGUGCAGGAUGAAGGCCUUCGGGUUGUAAACUGCUUUUAUAUGUGACGAUUAUGACGGUAGCAUAUGAAUAAGGAUCGGCUAACUCCGUG
RNAcentral lists this ribosomal RNA (446 nucleotides) under uncultured bacterium. RNAcentral describes it as "bacterial SSU rRNA". It matches the Rfam family "Bacterial small subunit ribosomal RNA", at positions 1 to 507 of the family's 1533-position model. The record is from RNAcentral.